Rhinichthys klamathensis goyatoka is the source of this 969-nucleotide long non-coding RNA. RefSeq lists it as uncharacterized. The record is from RefSeq and is a predicted model, not a curated record. The transcript is spliced from 8 exons. Lineage: Eukaryota; Metazoa; Chordata; Actinopteri; Cypriniformes; Leuciscidae.
GUAUUUAUCUGCUUUUCCUUUUCCCCCUAAGAAAUUCAAGGAUGUGUACAAUAUUUGUACACAAUCCAUGACUAAGAUUCUGUCUGGAUCGCAGAGGGUUAAAAGCCACUACUUCUGCAAGAAAGACCUAUUUAAAACCUACACUAAAGUUAUUGGUGCCCUCCUGGAAAAUGAAAAUCACUGGACCCUUUUUUUCUGUGACCUCACAAAACAAGAAGUCACAUACAUGGAUCCAUUUGGUGAAGCCAAUGGAAAGAAAAACGAGAUUCUGAAGAAUUGGAGUUAUUUUGCCAAAGCUAAAGGAUGUGCCCUGAAAUGGACAUGGAAUGAUGUGCCCCACGACAAGAGGAUGGACAUUCUUGUGGGGUCCAUGUGCUAAUGUUUGCUCAGGCCCUGCUUGAGGGAAAAGGUUUCGUGGAUGGAUAUGCCUCCGUGGAUAUACCCCAGCUGAGGGCACAGUUCUGCAACAUUCUGUUUUCCUCUUUAGAUAGAGGAGUAAAGUGCACAGUGUGCUGGAGUGUCCUGAUGUCCUGACUUUUAGGUGUGCUGUCAGGAAUGUGGUGCACACAGCCAUUUGAGAUGUCAGCGAAAACCAUGUGGCUUCUGUGUAAUUUGGCCGCAAAAAAAAUCUCCCUGAAUUAGUCCUCAAUCUUCCCAAGAAAAUGAAAACUAAGACAAGCAUUUUUAGUGCACUAACAGAGGGCGAGGCUUCAGACCUUGCCACUGGUUUAACUAAAAGCCUGUGUCAAAAUGUCAGUCCAAAGUUGGUACGUAAAGACAUAAGUGACCACAAUGCAGAAGUGACCAGGACAACUCUGGCUAGUGUACGUGCCAACUUGCAAUCAAGCCUGGAUUCUAGAUCAGCUUUCAGUUUAUUAACCCACACAUUUGGUCCACAAGCAGUGGAUGGAGUGUUAGGCUUCAUCUCAGAGAGUCUAAAAUGAAAGCAGAACAAAUACAUUUCAAAUG